GACGAACGCUGGCGGCGCGCCUAACACAUGCAAGUCGAACGGAAAGGCCUGCUUUCCCUUGUGGAUUGCGGGUACUCGAGUGGCGAACGGGUGAGUAACACGUGAGUGAUCUGCCCCCAACUUGGGUAUAAGCCUGGGAAACUGGGUCUAAUUCCCGAUAGGACUGCAGGGUGGUGCCUGUGGUGGAAAACGAUUUUCUAGUGGUUGGGGAUGAGCUCGCGGCCUAUCAGCUUGUUGGUGGGGUAAUGGCCUACCAAGGCGGCGACGGGUAGCCGGCCUGAGAGGGUGGACGGCCACAUUGGGACUAAGAUACGGCCCAGAAUCCUACGGGAGGCAGCAGUGGGGAAUAUUGCACAAUGGGCGGAAGCCUGAUGCAGCGACGCCGCGUGGGGGAUGACGGCCUUCGGGUUGUAAACUCCUUUCGACCGCGAGGAAGCCGCCUGGUUGGAAGGGUGGUGACGGUAGUGGUAGAAGAAGCACCGGCUAACUACGUG
Molecule: ribosomal RNA, 494 nt
Filed under: uncultured bacterium
Lineage: Bacteria
Description: partial 16S ribosomal RNA
Rfam family: Bacterial small subunit ribosomal RNA
Source: RNAcentral